Molecule: ribosomal RNA, 498 nt
Filed under: uncultured bacterium
Lineage: Bacteria
Description: partial 16S ribosomal RNA
Rfam family: Bacterial small subunit ribosomal RNA
Source: RNAcentral
AUUGAACGCUGGCGGCAUGCCUUACACAUGCAAGUCGAACGGUAACAGGUCUUCGGAUGCUGACGAGUGGCGAACGGGUGAGUAAUACAUCGGAACGUGCCUAGUAGUGGGGGAUAACUACUCGAAAGAGUGGCUAAUACCGCAUGAGAUCUACGGAUGAAAGCAGGGGAUCGCAAGACCUUGUGCUAAUAGAGGGGCCGGUGGCAGAUUAGGUAGUUGGUGGGUUAAAAGCUUACCAAGCCGACGAUCUGUAGCUGGUCUGAGAGGACGAUCAGCCACACUGGGACUGAGACACGGCCCAGACUCCUACGGGAGGCAGCAGUGGGGAAUUUUGGACAAUGGGCGAAAGCCUGAUCCAGCAAUGCCGCGUGCAGGAUGAAGGCCUUCGGGUUGUAAACUGCUUUUGUACGGAACGAAAAGCCCCGGGUUAAUACCCUGGGGUCAUGACGGUACCGUAAGAAUAAGCACCGGCUAACUACGUGCCAGCCGCCGCUGUAA